Molecule: ribosomal RNA, 605 nt
Filed under: uncultured bacterium
Lineage: Bacteria
Description: bacterial SSU rRNA
Rfam family: Bacterial small subunit ribosomal RNA (bases 1-517)
Source: RNAcentral
CCUACGGGAGGCAGCAGUGGGGAAUCUUGCGCAAUGGGCGAAAGCCUGACGCAGCCAUGCCGCGUGAAUGAUGAAGGUCUUAGGAUUGUAAAAUUCUUUCACCGGGGACGAUAAUGACGGUACCCGGAGAAGAAGCCCCGGCUAACUUCGUGCCAGCAGCCGCGGUAAUACGAAGGGGGCUAGCGUUGCUCGGAAUUACUGGGCGUAAAGGGAGCGUAGGCGGAUAGUUUAGUCAGAGGUGAAAGCCCAGGGCUCAACCUUGGAAUUGCCUUUGAUACUGGCUAUCUUGAGUACGGAAGAGGUAUGUGGAACUCCGAGUGUAGAGGUGAAAUUCGUAGAUAUUCGGAAGAACACCAGUGGCGAAGGCGACAUACUGGUCCGUUACUGACGCUGAGGCUCGAAAGCGUGGGGAGCAAACAGGAUUAGAUACCCUGGUAGUCCACGCUGUAAACGAUGAGUGCUAGUUGUCGGCAUGCANNNUGUCGUGUACGCNGCUACGACAUAGUACGACUCCGCCGUCGGAGGUACGGUCGCGAGAAGUAAACGUAACGUUAAAGAAGUAGUUACGGCGUGAGACGNGCGACGGACGACGACGAGGGAGGAGG